Macaca mulatta (Rhesus monkey) is the source of this 468-nucleotide non-coding RNA. The record is from the annotation of a RefSeq genome assembly. NCBI's taxonomy places the organism in Eukaryota, Metazoa, Chordata, Mammalia, Primates, Cercopithecidae.
GUGAUCAGCACUGAACACAGACCACCAAGCAUGGAAUUUGGGCUGAGCUGGGUUUUCCUUGUAGCUAUUUUGAAAGGUGUCCAGUGUGAGGUGCAGCUGGUGGAGUAUGGGGGAGGCUUGGUACAGCCUGGGGGGUCCCUGAGACUCUCCUGUGGAUUCACCUUCAGUGUCCACUUCAUGAGCUGGGUCCGCCAGGCUCCAGGGAAGGGGCCGGAGUGGGUAGGUUUCAUGAGAAACAAAGCUAAUGGUGGAACAGCAGAAUACGCCACGUCUGUGAAAGGCAGAUUCACUAUCUCAAGAGAUGAUUCCAAAAGCAUCGCCUAUCUGCAAAUGAGCAGCCUAAACACCGAGGACACGGCUGUGUAUUACUGUGCCAGAAACACAGUGAGGGGAACUCAGUGUGAGCCCAGAAACAAACCUCCCUGCAGGGGCGUGCAGAUCCCCCAGGGGGCAGUUGGGACCCACUGA